Molecule: ribosomal RNA, 475 nt
Filed under: uncultured bacterium
Lineage: Bacteria
Description: partial 16S ribosomal RNA
Rfam family: Bacterial small subunit ribosomal RNA
Source: RNAcentral
GGUGAACGCUGGCGGCGUGCUUAAGACAUGCAAGUCGAACGCAGUCUUCGGACUGAGUGGCGCACGGGUGAGUAACACGUAACUGACCUACCCCCAAGUCGCGGAUAACUGGCCGAAAGGUCAGCUAAUACGUGAUGUGAUGUCCCCUUUCUGGGGGGCCAUUAAAGGUUUACUGCUUGGGGAUGGGGUUUCGUUCCAUCAGCUAGUUGGGGGGGUAAAGGCCCACCAAGGCAACGACGUAUAGCCGGCCUGAGAGGGUGGCCGGCCACAGGGGCACUGAGACAAGGGUCCCACUCCUACGGGAGGCAGCAGUUAGGAACCUGCCACAAUGGGCGAAAGCCUGAUGGAGCGACGCCGCGUGAGGGAUGAAGGUUCGCGGAUCGUAAACCUCUGAAUCAGGGACGAAAGACGCGUAAGCGGGAUGACGGUACCUGAGUAAUAGCGCCGGCUAACUCCGUGCCAGCAGCCGCCGUAA